This 464-nucleotide ribosomal RNA is filed under the name uncultured bacterium. RNAcentral describes it as "partial 16S ribosomal RNA". It matches the Rfam family "Bacterial small subunit ribosomal RNA", at positions 28 to 507 of the family's 1533-position model. The record is from RNAcentral.
GACGAACGCUGGCGGCGUGCUUAACACAUGCAAGUCGAACGGAAAGGCCCAGCUUGCUGGGUGCUCGAGUGGCGAACGGGUGAGUAACACGUGGGUGAUCUGCCCCUAACUUCGGGAUAAGCUUGGGAAACUGGGUCUAAUACCGGAUAGGACAAUCGUUUAGUGUCGGUUGUGGAAAGUUUUUUCGGUUAGGGAUGAGCCCGCGGCCUAUCAGCUUGUUGGUGGGGUAAUGGCCUACCAAGGCGUCGACGGGUAGCCGGCCUGAGAGGGUGGACGGCCACAUUGGGACUGAGAUACCGCCCAGACUCCUACGGGAGGCAGCAGUGGGGAAUAUUGCACAAUGGGCGCAAGCCUGAUGCAGCGACGCCGCGUGGGGGAUGAAGGCCUUCGGGUUGUAAACCUCUUUCGACAGGGAAGAAGCUUUGGUGACGGUACCUGUAGAAGAAGCACCGGCUAACUACGUG